Molecule: long non-coding RNA, 866 nt
Organism: Equus quagga
Lineage: Eukaryota; Metazoa; Chordata; Mammalia; Perissodactyla; Equidae
Exons: 3
Source: RefSeq, a predicted model, not a curated record
GGCGCGUUCCCUCCGGCCCGCGGAAGCUGCCGCUCGCCUCGCCGGCCUCCGCCCGCGACCUCCCCGGCCGCCUCCGAUGCACACCCGCGAGGGCGCCUCGGCCGGCUGCAGGCCGGCUGACCGCUCAGCGACGAAAAGCAUUAUUCGCAAUAGCCAAGAUGUGGAAGCAACGCAAGUGCCCAUCAACUGAUGAAAGGAUAAAGAAGAUGUGGUGUGUCCUCCUGGAGAAGAGAUCUGAACCAGUAGAUCCCAACUUCAGGUCGGCCUUCAACUGCCCCCAAACCAUCAGAGGGCCACAGGCCAGGAAGGUCUGAAUGAGCCACCCCCCUUCCUAGACCAGCCUCAACACAAACGCAAUAGGGUCAACCCCUCCAGCAUGUGGUUUGAAGCAACAUUCUCCUGAGAAUUUCCUUGAAUAUGUGAAGCACUUUGGGAAGCAGCCACGUUGAAACAUAAAAAGCAGUGAAUUCUGAGGAAGAAGAUGUAAAUGAGAAUCCUGAUCUCCGAGGCUACCCUUUACUACCUGCGCAUCUUUGGCGAAAGACCUUACACUGUCCAAGCCUCAGUUUACCCAUCUGUUGUGAGGAUUAUGUGUGAAAACAUGUGGCAAACUUUGAACAUCUACCAAAUAUUUGCUAUUGCCAACACUUGUUGGAUGUCAGAUGACUUAUGUGAGUUGUAUUAAUGAAAACAAUGUGUGACAGUAUGGAACAUAUUUCUCCACUGUUUCAGAUGAAUUGUUCUAUAUAAAUAUCAGGCUAUAUUCCAUCACUGUAUUAAGAUUUUCCUUUUAAGUUGCUGAUAACUGAUUUUUUUUUUUAAAGAUUUUACUUUUUUCAUUUUUCUUCCCAAAGCCCCCAGGUACA